This is a non-coding RNA of Schistosoma haematobium, 45 nucleotides long. NCBI's taxonomy places the organism in Eukaryota, Metazoa, Platyhelminthes, Trematoda, Strigeidida, Schistosomatidae. The record is from Rfam.
AUCCAGCUGUCGAGUCCGAAACAGGACGAAACACGUGUCCUGGAU